CAGGUGCACCCUUGGAGGCCAGGCUGUCGCUGGUGGAAACGUCCUCGCCGCGCACCGCGGGGCUGCAGUUGAAGGCGGGGGUUGGGUAGGGAGGGGAAACCCGGAGGCACCCGGAGGCCGGUCGGGAUCUGUGGUGGGAGCCUGUGCAGGCGAGGAGGCACCGGGAGGAGGAAGGGACUGUUCGAGGCGAGGCGGGAGAGGAGAGGGGCAGGGCUUGGCUGGGCUGGGUGCUGCCUCUCCUGAAACGCAGAAAGACGAAUGGGAACAGAGUCAGGAAUUUUCAGAAGAAAACAGGAAGAAGUCGUUCGAGCUUGGGUUUCCCCCCCAGCGGACCUGAGGCGAGCAUUUGGGUACAACGGGAGUACGGGGCUCGUGCCUGAGCAGGUGUCCAGAGGGCCACAGGGGCUCAGUCUCGCUGAGGACACUCGAGACCGCGUGGAAUCCGCCGCAGCACUGUCCCCAAGAGGCGAGAAGGUGGGGUGCGCACCCAGCCCGCCCACCGCACCCACAGCCCCGCAGGCGGCGAAACCACUGAGCUAAAUCCCCGGCCCAAUAUCCACCUGGGUUAUCAGGCUCCUGAGUCCAGUAUAAAUUUACUCCUAAUGAUUUCAAACCCAUCAGUAAAAUAUGAAGAUGCUGUGGAACCUGUGUGUACCACGAUGAGGGGCUUGGCAGCCUGUGGGAGCUGUAUGGGGUGCAGGGCAGUGCAUGAAGCUGGAGCCCAAGAGGCAGUGAUGCCGGGAAUGCAGGACCCUGGGUACAUGAGUUGGGCUUAGGGUUUCAGUCUGUACCUGUAAAAUGAGAAAAUGAAUUAAAUGUCUCAAAUAUCUACA
This 833-nucleotide long non-coding RNA is filed under the name Heterocephalus glaber (naked mole-rat). Its description in RNAcentral is "lncRNA (ENSHGLG00100036619.1)". The record is from RNAcentral. Lineage: Eukaryota; Metazoa; Chordata; Mammalia; Rodentia; Bathyergidae.